Molecule: ribosomal RNA, 497 nt
Filed under: uncultured bacterium
Lineage: Bacteria
Description: partial 16S ribosomal RNA
Rfam family: Bacterial small subunit ribosomal RNA
Source: RNAcentral
GAUGAACGCUGGCGGCGUGCCUAAUACAUGCAAGUCGAGCGAACAGACGAGGAGCUUGCUCCUCUGACGUUAGCGGCGGACGGGUGAGUAACACGUGGAUAACCUACCUAUAAGACUGGGAUAACUUAGGGAAACCGGAGCUAAUACAGGAUAAUAUAUUGAACCGCAUGGUUCAAUAGUGAAAGACGGUUUUGCUGUCACUUAUAGAUGGAUCCGCGCCGCAUUAGCUAGUUGGUAAGGUAACGGCUUACCAAGGCAACGAUGCGUAGCCGACCUGAGAGGGUGAUCGGCCACACUGGAACUGAGACACGGUCCAGACUCCUACGGGAGGCAGCAGUAGGGAAUCUUCCGCAAUGGGCGAAAGCUUGACGGAGCCACGCCGCGUGAGUGAUGAAGGUCUUCGGAUCGUAAAACUCUGUUAUUAGGGAAGAACAAAUGUUUAAGAAACUAUGCACGUCUUGACGGUACCUAAUCAGAAAGCCACGGCUAACUACGUG